UUACCAUGUGUGUCACCAACGUAGUAAACAGAAUACCAUGAUACCUUUACUAUGGUAUUGUUACUACAUGUCUGUCUCAGCUGUGACAUCAUUGGCAAAUGUUAUAAAAAAUGCGAGUUUUGACAGCUCUCUCUCGAAUCAAAGAGUCUCGUAUCAUAUUAUCCAUGGUAGCAAUUACCAAGAAUGAAGUGCGGUGCUCUACGUAGCUGUAGCGGUAGCAAAAAAUUGAGAGCGAUAUAAGAGCAGAGGUUGUUGUUUUUUUUUGUGUUUUUUGCUAUUUUGUCAAAAUUUUUGUUUCUGAAUAAAAUAUUAUUAUUAAA
Bactrocera neohumeralis is the source of this 320-nucleotide long non-coding RNA. RefSeq lists it as uncharacterized. Lineage: Eukaryota; Metazoa; Arthropoda; Insecta; Diptera; Tephritidae. The transcript is spliced from 2 exons. The record is from RefSeq and is a predicted model, not a curated record.